AGGACGAACGCUGGCGGCGUGCUUAACACAUGCAAGUCGAGCGGAAAGGCCCUUCGGGGUACUCGAGCGGCGAACGGGUGAGUAACACGUGAGCAACCUGCCCUUAGCUUCGGGAUAGCUCCGGGAAACCGGAAUUAAUACCGGAUAUGACUAUGGCCGACAUCAGCCAUGGUGGAAAGUUUUUCGGCUAGGGAUGGACUCGCGGCCUAUCAGCUAGUUGGUGAGGUAACGGCUCACCAAGGCGACGACGGGUAGCCGGCCUGAGAGGGCGACCGGCCACACUGGGACUGAGACACGGCCCAGACUCCUACGGGAGGCAGCAGUGGGGAAUAUUGCGCAAUGGGCGAAAGCCUGACGCAGCGACGCCGCGUGGGGGAUGAAUGCCUUCGGGUUGUAACCCCUUUCAGCAGGGACGAAGCGAAGUGACGGUACCUGCAGAAGAAGCGCCGGCUAACUACGUGCCAGCAGCCGC
Molecule: ribosomal RNA, 472 nt
Filed under: uncultured bacterium
Lineage: Bacteria
Description: SSU rRNA
Rfam family: Bacterial small subunit ribosomal RNA
Source: RNAcentral